RNAcentral lists this ribosomal RNA (468 nucleotides) under uncultured bacterium. Its description in RNAcentral is "partial 16S ribosomal RNA". It matches the Rfam family "Bacterial small subunit ribosomal RNA", at positions 28 to 507 of the family's 1533-position model. The record is from RNAcentral.
GACGAACGCUGGCGGCGUGCUUAACACAUGCAAGUCGAACGGAAAGGCUCUGCUCUUGCGGUUUGCCCGAGUGCCGAACGGGGGAGUAACACGUGAGUAACCUGCCCUUGCCUUUGGGAUAACUUUAGGAAACUGGGGCUAAUACCGGAUAGGAGCUCCUGCUGCAUGGUGGGGGUUGGAAAGUUUCGGCGGUUGGGGAUGGACUCGCGGCUUAUCAGCGUGCUGGUGGGGUAGUGUCUUACCAAGGCUUUGACGGGUAGCCGGCCUGAGAGGGUGACCGGCCACAUUGGGACUGGGAUACGGCCAGGACUCCUACGGGAGGCAGCAGUGGGGAAUAUUGCACAAUGGGCGGAAGCCUGAUGCAGCAACGCCGCGUGCGGGAUGACGGCCGUCGGGUUGUAAACCGCUUUCGCCUGUGAAGGAGCGUGAGUGACGGUAAUGGGUAAAGAAGCACCGGCUAACUACGUG